GAGGAGGCCGAGGGAGAGGACGUGGAGGUGAAGAAGUUGGAGGAAGAGAACGUGGAGUUGAAGAAGCGAGAGGGUUAGAGGAAGUUAGAGGUAGAGGACAAGGAGGAGCAAGAAGAGGACGAGGAGGGGAAAGAGGAAGGGUAAGAAGAGUAAGAAAUAGAAUAACUGAUGACAUCAGAGCUACAAUAGUGGACCAUGUCAUCAACCAUGGGAUGACCCUGAGGGAAGCUGGCCAACGGGUUCAGCCUAAUUUGAGCCGCUACACUGUGGCAAGCAUCAUUAGGACAUUUCGAAACGAGAAUCGAAUAAGAAUGAAGCAAAUUUACAGAGUUCCUUUCGAGAGAAACACAGAACGUGUAAAGCAACUGCGAUAUGACUAUGUGCAGAGAGUGAUGGAACUAGAAGCAGAUGCCUUGGGACAUGAGCUACUUUUUGUAGAUGAGGCCGGUUUUAACCUCAGUAAAACCAGGAGACGUGGCAGGAACAUUACUGGACACCGUGCCAUCAUCAAUGUCCCAGGACAACGUGGUGGUAACAUAACCAUGUGUGCAGCUAUAAGCCAAAAUGGUGUUGUUCACCAUCAUGCAACCAUAGGCCCAUACAACACUGCACACAUUAUUGCAUUCCUGGACAC
Long non-coding RNA from Cyprinus carpio carpio, 634 nucleotides. The record is from Ensembl. Lineage: Eukaryota; Metazoa; Chordata; Actinopteri; Cypriniformes; Cyprinidae.